Molecule: ribosomal RNA, 253 nt
Filed under: uncultured bacterium
Lineage: Bacteria
Description: partial 16S ribosomal RNA
Rfam family: Bacterial small subunit ribosomal RNA
Source: RNAcentral
UACGGAGGGUGCGAGCGUUGUUCGGAAUCACUGGGCGUAAAGGGCGUGUAGGCGGUCCGCUAAGUCUGAUGUGAAAGCCCGGGGCUCACCCCCGGAAGUGCAUUGGAAACUGGCGGACUCGAGUCCCGGAGAGGAGAGUGGAAUUCCUGGUGUAGCGGUGAAAUGCGUAGAUAUCGGGAGGAACACCGGUGGCGAAGGCGGCUCUCUGGACGGUGACUGACGCUGAGACGCGAAAGCGUGGGGAGCAAACAGG